UACGUAGGUGGCAAGCGUUGUCCGGAUUUACUGGGCGUAAAGAGCGCGCAGGCGGCUGGUCAAGUCCGAUGUGAAAGCUCCCGGCUUAACUGGGAAACGGCAUCGGAAACUGAUCGGCUUGAAGGUGGGAGAGGGUAGUGGAAUUCCCGGUGUAGUGGUGAAAUGCGUAGAUAUCGGGAGAAACAUCAGUGGCGAAGGCGACUACCUGGCCCACUCUUGACGCUGAGGCGCGAAAGCUAGGGGAGCAAACGGG
RNAcentral lists this ribosomal RNA (253 nucleotides) under uncultured bacterium. Its description in RNAcentral is "partial 16S ribosomal RNA". It matches the Rfam family "Bacterial small subunit ribosomal RNA", at positions 524 to 776 of the family's 1533-position model. The record is from RNAcentral.